Molecule: long non-coding RNA, 1205 nt
Filed under: Bos indicus x Bos taurus (hybrid cattle)
Lineage: Eukaryota; Metazoa; Chordata; Mammalia; Artiodactyla; Bovidae
Description: lncRNA (ENSBIXG00000025861.1)
Source: RNAcentral
GCACUUACCACUCUGAAUUGUAAUAGUGCUUUUGCUUGUCUGUCUUCCCAGACUUGACUUUGAACUCAACAACAGGGACCUAGUUAAAUGCACAGAGGAGCCUGGCAGGCCACUGUUAGGGGGUCGAAAAAGUCAAGAAACUGACCGAGCACAACAACAACACAUCACUAAUACCUGGUGUGGUUCCCGGCACAUAGUGGGUCUGAAAAGUGCCUGCAAUGGGACAACCCAACUGGAAGGUUGCGCAGGGCAGAAAAAUAUAGAAAGUGAAUCUAGAGGGGCAAAGAGAAUAUCCAUCACAUCAUAGAAAGUCACCAGUGAAAGCAUUCCUGGAUGGCCACAGUCAAGAAAGACGACUCAGAGAGGAAGGCAAGUCUGUACUGGCUGGGAACUGGCUCUCAGUGCAGAAAGCACCCUGCCUAGAAGGCAGCGAGGGCGGAGAGGAGCAACGGUAAUUCUGGGUCUUCGCCCCACCUCUCUCAGCUGAGAAUGCAACCCACGCAGAAAGAAAUGUUGCUCUUGCCAGAUUCAUAUUUCAUCCUCACAGCGGCUUCGUGUCAACGUUAUCUUUAAACGUGAUGUAUGGAGUCGCCAGAACUUGUGGUAGGAAUGCCAAACCAAGAUGACUUCAGGAACGUUGCAAGUCUAGCCCACAAAGAGAUUCACUUCUGACAGAGGGAGAAAACAAAGGUGAAAAGUUGCAGAAGGUGUACAUUAACAUCAAGUCCACGGCAGAGGUGGCUUCAUAAACCCAAGUGACCUCUCCUCACUUCAUCACCAUUAAACCUCCUGAAUGGAUGGCUGGAACUUUUGGUCUCUCUGUACUGACCUCUGAGGAGGAGAGAGGAACUAGAUAGUAAGUUCAAUCAUCAAUGGCCGAUGAUUUAAUCAAUCAUGCCUAUGUAAUGAACUCUUCAUAAAAACCCAAAGCACAGGGUUUGGAGAACCUCUGGGCUGGUGAACACAAGGAGAGAGGGGAGGGCUCAGAGAGGACACAGAAACUCUGGGCUCUUUUCCUGAAAACCUUGCCCUCUUUAUCUCUUCCACCUGGCUGUUCCUAAGUUAUGUGUGUGUUAGUUGCUCAGUUGUGUCCGACUCUAUGCGACCCCAUGGCCAGGCUCCUCUGUCCAUGGAAUUUUCCAGGCAAGAACACUGGAGUGGGUUGCUAUAUUCUUUUAUAAUAAACCAGUAAUCUAAUAAAUACA